Molecule: long non-coding RNA, 517 nt
Organism: Alligator sinensis (Chinese alligator)
Lineage: Eukaryota; Metazoa; Chordata; Crocodylia; Alligatoridae
Exons: 4
Source: RefSeq, a predicted model, not a curated record
GAGGCAGUGACAGUUGAGGUCCCUGUGAGGAGACGGCAGAUGCAGGUCGCCCGUGGAGGGAGCUGGUCAGUGUGACGGAGGGGAGGGGAGGGACCCAGGGAGAUUUUCGCAGGCAUUGUUGGGAGGAUUGGACGGGAAACUGGAUAAAGCGGGGCAGCGUGCAUCACUCAAAAGUGGCGCGCUCCCACCGCCAGCCAGGCUCGGAGCGGCACAGGAUCGCCACUGCUGCAGACCCGGGGGAGGCCCCCAGGUAAGGGGUCAUCCUGGCAGUUCCUUCCAUCCGUCUGUCUUCUGCAGCAUUGACCAUCCUGUUGGAACAUGAACAUGUUGGAAUAUGAUGUAUACACAUUUGUGAGGCCUCACCCGAACCUGAAGCCAGCAGUGUGAAAUGGAUGCCCCAGGAAUGCUUCUGCAAGUGGAUUCCUGGGAUGUACAUCAACAAGUAUGGAGGAGGCAACUCUUAAAGGGGUUCCCUGAUCUGUUGUUGCUGACCACACCCUAUAAUGCAAUACAUGUG